Durio zibethinus is the source of this 568-nucleotide non-coding RNA. The record is from RefSeq and is a predicted model, not a curated record. Lineage: Eukaryota; Viridiplantae; Streptophyta; Magnoliopsida; Malvales; Malvaceae.
UCGAAUUGCUGUUUUAAAUUCGAGUUUUGUAUUCGAACAUGCAAAUUGAGGUAUCAUUGGACCCCAACCUGCACUGCACUCUCUCUUCAAAGCAGAAAAGGCUUUUGCUGUUUUGCAGUUUCUUUCUUACGCCUACAGUUAACCGCACGAACCUUUCUGCAAAACAAAGUAUCGUACUUUCAAGCAAAACCUUAAUCAUCAAAUGGAACAGAUUUUUCCCUGAUUCCCUCUCCAUGACGACGGGAAUCGACGAACUUUUUAUACUCACACGCCAUUGAUUCUUGUCUGUGUCAUCUGCAUUCGCUUUGUCCAGGGCAGUUCAGUGGACCUGCACUUGUGGAGGAGGUUCAGGGUCAGCAUGCUAUAUUGAGAGACUGUAUUGAGCAGCUAACAGCUGUUGCAUCAUCAAGAGCUAGUCUUGUCUCACAUUUGAGAGAGGCUCUUCAGGAGCAGGAAUUCAAGCCGGAGGCAAUUCAUACACAAGCUUCAGGUUUGUCACUAGACUUAUAUUUUAGGUAUACUUUUGACAUUAUGAACUAUAAACUUAGAUAUCUCAGCGUAAAUACAG